GAGAAAAGUUUACACAUAACUUCCAAUCCAUGAAUUCAUCCCGCAAGUUCUUCAUGGUUGUUGUCGUCCUUGCCUUGCUCGUCGUGGCUACGGAUAUGAGCUUUCACUUUUGCUUUACCAGGCUAGAAAAUCACAUGAGGCCAUCAUAUAUGACAAGGAAUAUUCGCAAGACAUGAAUAUCAAUUGAGAUGGCACCGGCGCAGGCGGUAGACUGCAGGACAGCGAGCACCCGGUUCAACGGCAUAUGCAUCCUGGACAGCAGUUGCGCCAACAUGUGCAUCACCGAGGGGUUCCUGGCUGGCGGGGACUGUGAAGGCCUCCACCGGCG
Molecule: long non-coding RNA, 328 nt
Organism: Triticum aestivum (bread wheat)
Lineage: Eukaryota; Viridiplantae; Streptophyta; Magnoliopsida; Poales; Poaceae
Exons: 3
Source: RefSeq, a predicted model, not a curated record